UACGUAGGUGGCAAGCGUUGUCCGGAAUUAUUGGGCGUAAAGGGCUCGCAGGCGGUUCCUUAAGUCUGAUGUGAAAGCCCCCGGCUCAACCGGGGAGGGUCAUUGGAAACUGGGGAACUUGAGUGCAGAAGAGGAGAGUGGAAUUCCACGUGUAGCGGUGAAAUGCGUAGAGAUGUGGAGGAACACCAGUGGCGAAGGCGACUCUCUGGUCUGUAACUGACGCUGAGGCGCGAAAGCGUGGGGAGCAAACAGG
This 253-nucleotide ribosomal RNA is filed under the name uncultured bacterium. Its description in RNAcentral is "partial 16S ribosomal RNA". It matches the Rfam family "Bacterial small subunit ribosomal RNA", at positions 524 to 776 of the family's 1533-position model. The record is from RNAcentral.